GUUAGUUAAUUGUGAAAUCCCAAAGCUUAACUUUGGAACUGCAAUUAAAACUGCUCGACUAGAGUUUGAUAGAGGAAAGCGGAAUACAUAGUGUAGAGGUGAAAUUCGUAGAUAUUAUGUAGAACACCAGUUGCGAAGGCGGCUUUCUGGAUCAACACUGACGCUGAGGCGCGAAAGUAUGGGUAGCAAAGAGGAUUAGAUACCCUCGUAGUCCAUACCAUAAACGAUGAUUGCUAGAUGUUGGAAAUUUAUUUUCAGUAUCGCAGCUAACGCAUUAAGCAAUCCGCCUGGGGAGUACGACCGCAAGGUUAAAACUCAAAUGAAUUGACGGGGACCCGCACAAGCGGUGGAGCAUGUGGUUUAAUUCGAAGAUACGCGCAGAACCUUACCAACCCUUGACAUGUCUGUCGCGAGUUUAGGAAACUAGACUUUUCGGUUCGGCCGGACAGAACACAGGUGCUGCAUGGCUGUCGUCAGCUCGUGUCGUGAGAUGUUGGGUUAAGUCCCGCAACGAGCGCAACCCCUACUUUUAGUUGCCAUCAGGUCAUGCUGGGCACUCUGAAAGAACUGCCAGUGAUAAGCUGGAGGAAGGUGGGGAUGACGUCAAGUCCUCAUGGCCCUUACGGGUUGGGCUACACACGUGCUACAAUGGUAGUGAC
RNAcentral lists this ribosomal RNA (659 nucleotides) under uncultured bacterium. RNAcentral's name for it is "bacterial SSU rRNA". It matches the Rfam family "Bacterial small subunit ribosomal RNA", at positions 583 to 1240 of the family's 1533-position model. The record is from RNAcentral.